UGUAUAAUAUGGCACAAGGUCUAGAAAAUUUGUUUUCUGAUUCGACCUUAAGCAUUGGAAAUUUUUUACCAGUUUUAUUAAUACUCUGCCAUAAACCGCUAAGUUAACAAAAUAAAAAUAAUGCAAAGAACGAACAAAAAAAAAAACUAGCAAACAUGGCUGACUGACACUGACAGUGACUGUGACAGGACUGACAGUUACUGACUUUACUUUGGAAGUUACCAAACAACUUUACAAAGCCGUGACCCCGUGAGUCUAGUGAUGACAGUGUCUUCGUAUUACGCCGAGGUUUUUAUUUUUUUAAAUGUGGAAUGGUUGCUAAAUAACGUAAAAUCUGCGUUUUUGGUGGCAUACUAGUGAUGCGAAAUAACGUAAAAUCUGUAUUUAUGGUGGUACUCGUUACCUAUGAUUUUGCGGAUUUCCAUGUGGCCUAUCCUAGUAUAGUAGUAGGCCUAUUGCGGCAACCAAUGUUGUAGGCUAGUUCUGGCCUAGGCUAUACUCUCUCCUCAUAGGCCUACCUAUUUUUACAGUUCGGAACAGCGGAACUUUAUUCCUUGUCUUUAAAUGAGCUCGCCAUCGUUCUGCUUUAAAGUAAAACAAGUCCCAGUAUCCUUUAAAAGGAAGACCAUUCAAAUAAGGGAGGGAAGGCAGAUCCGAUCUAGUUCAUUAAUGUUUCUGUUCAGCAUCGUCUUGGCAACAUUGCAAUCAACUAUGAGCAUCUGCCAGAUGUGGCUUCAGUCUUUGUUCCCCCCACCCCCAUCCUCCCCGGAAAGAAAUAAACUGUGGCGUUGUUUCUGUUUUAGAAUUCUCUGCUAUUCUUCAAGAAGAGAAGGAAACUAUUGUGAAAAAGUGCUAAUGGCGUGUUCGUCUUGUAUACUACUGAUUCUGCAUUGCAGUUUCGUAAUCUAUUUGAUUUCUGAAAUUUCAUUGUUGAUGAAGUGAAAUAAAGAAUCAGUAGAAAAUGCUGAUAAUUCCAAUUUCCAGUUUUUUUUAAUAUUAGGGAAUUAUAUGUGAAUGAAAGUAGUAAUAUGAAAAAAGAUAGAAAAACAGCUAGUUUUGCUGCUGUUUACAUAAAGUAAUUUACCGUGUGGAUCGGAGGUUAUUCUGAAUGGUUUCCUUUUAUAAUUUCUCUUGACAAAUGUACUACGCUUUCACUUGGUUUUUGCUCUAAUCGAUAUAGUAAUCAAUGUUCAUGUAAGUGUAUUUGUGUAUAUUGUUGACCUUGUUUGUAUUGAAACAAUUGGUUUUAAAUUUAUGUAAACAAUAAGCUAUUUUCCCGAACGUUGUGACCCCAGAGAAAAUCUGACACAAUGGUCACUUCAUAUUCAUUCCUUUUUACACUCGGUCAAGGAUGAAUCGUUUCAUGUGUAUACUCCCACAGAUGCUACAUCAGGGGAGACAACCCUACUGCGAGAUACAUCUCUGGUUUUAAAACACACACACACACUUGCUUGGGUAUUAAAACCCUUCCGUUCCAAUACUACUUUUGCUCCAUGUAUCCAUCACUCUCUUAGUUUACCUACUCCAGUAAUUCCGAAUUAUACAUUUUUCACCAACCUAGCACCUUGCUGUCCUUCCACACGGACUGUCUCAAAACAGUAAUCCAUCUAUUCACUAAUCUUACCUGAUGAACCCCUUUUGGCCAUAUAUUGCAUUAUACAUCUGUAAUAAAAGGUAUCGCCUUCUGCGCUUUCAUUAACUUCCUUCAUCAUUUCAUCCAUGUAAAUGUUGGCAACUAAGGAACUUGGAGAGAGGGCGGGGUUGAGUUUGAGUGGUGUGGUGUUUAUGCUACUGUUUUUAGCCGAUAUUUGAGUCUUGAUUAAAACUGCCUACCUUUAGUGAAUAUUUUCAUACAAUGAUUAUGCACUUGGCUACAGUAUGCUUUACAGUAAAUUGGUUUGCAUAUUUACCUAGAUAUUAAAGUUAGCGAAUUCCAAUUUCUUCUUAAUUUCGUGUUCUUGAAAAUCUUUGUACCAGUGCAAGAGCUCUCAGAGUCAUGGCAAAUAAUAGUGGCUAGAAGAGGUAGUGAAAAAGAGGGACUCCAGAAACGUCGAGAAUAAAUAAUACAGUUCUUUUGUAAAAAGAAUUCUUCAAUUUAUCUGAGA
Macrobrachium nipponense is the source of this 2105-nucleotide long non-coding RNA. RefSeq lists it as uncharacterized. The transcript has 3 exons. The record is from RefSeq and is a predicted model, not a curated record. NCBI's taxonomy places the organism in Eukaryota, Metazoa, Arthropoda, Malacostraca, Decapoda, Palaemonidae.